GAUGAACGCUGGCGGCGUGCCUAAUACAUGCAAGUCGAGCGAACAGACGAGGAGCUUGCUCCUCUGACGUUAGCGGCGGACGGGUGAGUAACACGUGGAUAACCUACCUAUAAGACUGGGAUAACUUCGGGAAACCGGAGCUAAUACCGGAUAAUAUAUUGAACCGCAUGGUUCAAUAGUGAAAGACGGUUUUGCUGUCACUUAUAGAUGGAUCCGCGCCGCAUUAGCUAGUUGGUAAGGUAACAGCUUACCAAGGCGACGAUGCGUAGCCGACCUGAGAGGGUGAUCGGCCACACUGGAACUGAGACACGGUCCAGACUCCUACGGGAGGCAGCAGUAGGGAAUCUUCCGCAAUGGGCGAAAGCCUGACGGAGCAACGCCGCGUGAGUGAUGAAGGUCUUCGGAUCGUAAAACGCUGUUAUUAGGGAAGAACAAAUGUGUAAGUAACUAUGCACGUCUUGACGGUACCUAAUCAGAAAGCCACGGCUAACUACGUG
Molecule: ribosomal RNA, 497 nt
Filed under: uncultured bacterium
Lineage: Bacteria
Description: partial 16S ribosomal RNA
Rfam family: Bacterial small subunit ribosomal RNA
Source: RNAcentral